This 568-nucleotide small RNA is filed under the name Pan troglodytes (chimpanzee). RNAcentral's name for it is "processed transcript". Lineage: Eukaryota; Metazoa; Chordata; Mammalia; Primates; Hominidae. The record is from RNAcentral.
GCAGAUUCGCGUCCCUCAGCCUGGCCGUGCGGCGAGAGGCCGCUAGCAGCGCCCUGCGGACCGGCCCGCAGCCCCGGCGCCCGCCCCGGACUCACGGCGGGGGCGUCGGUCGAGGUGUACCGCAGGAUGACCUGGAAGGGCUGGUGCGCCUGCAGCUCGGGCGGCAGCGUGACGGGAUGUUUCAGCAGCCCCUGAGAAGGAAGAGGAGGAAGCUGAGGGCCCGCUGAGGGCGCAGGACCUGAGGGAGUCCUACAUCCAGCUCGUCCAGGGUGUGCAGGAGUGGCAGGAUGGUUGCAUGUACCAGGGGGAGUUUGGGUUGAACAUGAAGCUUGGAUAUGGCAAAUUCUCUUGGCCCACAGGCGAGUCAUACCAUGGGCAGUUUUACCGGGACCACUGCCAUGGCCUGGGUACCUACAUGUGGCCAGAUGGCUCCAGUUUCACGGGCACAUUUUACCUCAGCCACCGAGAAGGCUACGGCACCAUGUACAUGAAGACACGGCUUUUCCAGUUUCAAUGUGAUGUUUCCAUUUGUGGAUCUGGAAAAUUCUCAACUGUUAUUUCUUCAGAU